Molecule: ribosomal RNA, 410 nt
Filed under: uncultured microorganism
Description: bacterial SSU rRNA
Rfam family: Bacterial small subunit ribosomal RNA
Source: RNAcentral
CAGCCGCCGCGGUAAUACGUAGGUGGCAAGCGUUGUCCGGAAUUAUUGGGCGUAAAGCGCGCGCAGGCGGUUCCUUAAGUCUGAUGUGAAAUCUCGCGGCUCAACCGCGAGCGGCCAUUGGAAACUGGGGAACUUGAGUGCAGGAGAGGGGAGCGGAAUUCCACGUGUAGCGGUGAAAUGCGUAGAGAUGUGGAGGAACACCAGUGGCGAAGGCGGCUCUCUGGCCUGUAACUGACGCUGAGGCGCGAAAGCGUGGGGAGCGAACAGGAUUAGAUACCCUGGUAGUCCACGCCGUAAACGAUGAGUGCUAAGUGUUAGAGGGUAUCCACCCUUUAGUGCUGCAGCAAACGCAUUAAGAACUCCGCCUGGGGAGUACGGCCGCAAGGCUGAAACUUAAAGGAAUUGGCGGG